CGUACCUUUUGUAUAAUGGGUCAGCGACUUAUAUUCUGUAGCAAGGUUAACCGAAUAGGGGAGCCGAAGGGAAACCGAGUCUUAACUGGGCGUUAAGUUGCAGGGUAUAGACCCGAAACCCGGUGAUCUAGCCAUGGGCAGGUUGAAGGUUGGGUAACACUAACUGGAGGACCGAACCGACUAAUGUUGAAAAAUUAGCGGAUGACUUGUGGCUGGGGGUGAAAGGCCAAUCAAACCGGGAGAUAGCUGGUUCUCCCCGAAAGCUAUUUAGGUAGCGCCUCGUGAAUUCAUCUCCGGGGGUAGAGCACUGUUUCGGCAAGGGGGUCAUCCCGACUUACCAACCCGAUGCAAACUGCGAAUACCGGAGAAUGUUAUCACGGGAGACACACGGCGGGUGCUAACGUCCGUCGUGAAGAGGGAAACAACCCAGACCGCCAGCUAAGGUCCCAAAGUCAUGGUUAAGUGGGAAACGAUGUGGGAAGGCCCAGACAGCCAGGAUGUUGGCUUAGAAGCAGCCAUCAUUUAAAGAAAGCGUAAUAGCUCACUGGUCGAGUCGGCCUGCGCGGAAGAUGUAACGGGGCUAAACCAUGCACCGAAGCUGCGGCAGCGACGCUGAUGCGUUGUUGGGUAGGGGAGCGUUCUGUAAGCCUGCGAAGGUGUGCUGUGAGGCAUGCUGGAGGUAUCAGAAGUGCGAAUGCUGACAUAAGUAACGAUAAAGCGGGUGAAAAGCCCGCUCGCCGGAAGACCAAGGGUUCCUGUCCAACGUUAAUCGGGGCAGGGUGAGUCGACCCCUAAGGCGAGGCCGAAAGGCGUAGUCGAUGGGAAACAGGUUAAUAUUCCUGUACUUGGUGUUACUGCGAAGGGGGGACGGAGAAGGCUAUGUUGGCCGGGCGACGGUUGUCCCGGUUUAAGCGUGUAGGCUGGUUUUCCAGGCAAAUCCGGAAAAUCAAGGCUGAGGCGUGAUGACGAGGCACUACGGUGCUGAAGCAACAAAUGCCCUGCUUCCAGGAAAAGCCUCUAAGCAUCAGGUAACAUCAAAUCGUACCCCAAACCGACACAGGUGGUCAGGUAGAGAAUACCAAGGCGCUUGAGAGAACUCGGGUGAAGGAACUAGGCAAAAUGGUGCCGUAACUUCGGGAGAAGGCACGCUGAUAUGUAGGUGAAGUCCCUCGCGGAUGGAGCUGAAAUCAGUCGAAGAUACCAGCUGGCUGCAACUGUUUAUUAAAAACACAGCACUGUGCAAACACGAAAGUGGACGUAUACGGUGUGACGCCUGCCCGGUGC
RNAcentral lists this ribosomal RNA (1284 nucleotides) under Escherichia coli. RNAcentral's name for it is "partial 23S ribosomal RNA". It matches the Rfam family "Bacterial large subunit ribosomal RNA", at positions 600 to 1869 of the family's 2925-position model. Lineage: Bacteria; Pseudomonadati; Pseudomonadota; Gammaproteobacteria; Enterobacterales; Enterobacteriaceae. The record is from RNAcentral.